RNAcentral lists this unclassified non-coding RNA (2243 nucleotides) under Hevea brasiliensis (rubber tree). The record is from RNAcentral. Lineage: Eukaryota; Viridiplantae; Streptophyta; Magnoliopsida; Malpighiales; Euphorbiaceae.
CCCCCAGCCAGUCCGUCAGGGUUGGAGAUAGUCGAGUUUUGAGUCAACUACUGAGUCAGAAACUCAAGCCUACACAGGAGAACAAUCCAUUAAAAAGAUGGUUCCAGAAGGCCAAGUACUUUUUAUUGGAUAACUGGCAGAGGAUGUGGAUUAUGGCGUUGUGGCUUGGAAUUGUAGCUGGUUUAUUUACAUACAAGUUUAUACAAUAUAAGAAUAAGGCCGUAUACGAUAUAAUGGGUUAUUGCGUUUGUGUUGCCAAAGGAGGGGCAGAGACCCUUAAAUUCAACAUGGCCUUGAUUUUACUGCCAGUCUGCCGGAACACCAUUACUUGGCUCAGAAACAAGACCAAGUUGGGAGUAGCUGUGCCUUUCGAUGACAAUCUGAAUUUCCAUAAGGUGAUUGCAGUUGGAAUUGCAAUUGGGGUAGGACUGCAUGCAGGCGCUCACUUAACGUGUGAUUUCCCGAGGCUUCUUCAUGCGACUGAAGAGGAAUACGAGCCUAUGAGACCUUACUUCGGGGAUGAACAACCACCAAAUUACUGGUGGUUUGUGAAAGGCGUAGAGGGUGUCACCGGUAUUAUAAUGGUGGUGCUAAUGGCUAUAGCAUUCACUUUAGCCACUCCUUGGUUUAGGCGUAAUAAGCUCAACCUUCCAAAACCCCUCAAGAAACUCACCGGCUUCAAUGCCUUCUGGUAUUCUCACCAUCUAUUCGUCAUCGUCUACACUCUACUCAUAGUCCAUGGCAUUUACCUCUACCUCACAAAAAAAUGGUAUCAGAAAACGACAUGGAUGUAUCUGGCAGUGCCAAUAAUCCUUUAUGCAUGUGAAAGGCUGAUUAGAGCUUUUAGAUCAAGCAUCAAGUCCGUUAAGAUUCUUAAGGUUGCUGUAUAUCAUGGAAAUGUCUUGGCAUUGCACAUGUCGAAGCCACAGGGCUUCAAAUACAAGAGUGGACAGUACAUGUUUGUCAAUUGCGCUGCGGUUUCUCCCUUCGAAUGGCACCCAUUUUCUAUCACGUCAGCACCAGGAGAUGACUACCUUAGCGUGCACAUUCGAACACUGGGAGACUGGACACGGCAACUCAAAACUGUUUUCUCUGAGGUUUGUCAGCCUCCAGCUGCUGGCAAGAGUGGACUACUAAGAGCUGAGGGCACGCAAGGCGGGAACGACCCUAGCUUCCCAAAGAUAUUGAUCGACGGUCCAUAUGGAGCUCCGGCUCAGGACUACAAGAAAUACGACGUGGUGCUGUUGGUAGGGCUUGGCAUUGGUGCCACGCCCAUGAUCAGCAUUGUAAAGGACAUCAUCAAUAACAUGAAGGAAGAAGAUGGUCGUGAGACAGCCUUAGAGGGUGGGAGAGCAACUCCUAAUAAUAAUUAUAAUAGUAAGACGAGAAAAGCCUACUUCUAUUGGGUGACGAGGGAACAAGGUUCGUUCGAGUGGUUCAAAGGGAUAAUGAACGAGGUAGCUGAAAUGGACGAUAAGGGGGUGAUAGAGCUGCACAACUACUGCACCAGCGUGUAUGAAGAAGGGGACGCCAGGUCAGCCCUGAUUGCAAUGCUCCAGUCGCUCCACCAUGCAAAGAAUGGUGUGGAUGUGGUUUCUGGCACCCGAGUCAAAUCGCACUUUGCCAAGCCUAACUGGCGCCAAGUCUACAAGAAAAUAGCUCUCCAUCAUCCAGAUGCAAGAAUUGGAGUUUUCUACUGUGGGGCACCAGCACUCACGAAAGAGCUAAGGCAACUGGCUUUGGACUUCUCUCACCGGACCUCCACUAAGUUCGAUUUUCAUAAAGAGAACUUUUGAGGGACACCCAUGUACAGUAUUGCAAUUAACACCGACUGAAGCUUCGUGACUCUGAGUGGCGUACAACGUCAUCAAUCCAUCAGCAAUUGUUCGUUAAUUAAUUUUUGUUACUUUGAUUUAGUUUUACUAGGUAUAUAUACCAAGUCGAUAAUCAUCCUUCCAAUUAAAGAGAGUGGUGAUGAUAUAGAUAUAGAUAAUAAAUAAGCUCAUCAUUCGGUUGUAUUCAUUAAAAGAACUCAAGCUUAAUAGUCUACAUGUGAUUCGUGCCAUAUAGAUAAGAAUUACUGUUACCAAAUGCUAAAUUUUCAAACUAGCAUGGGAUUUUGCAUUCUUGAAAUUUGUAAUAAUGGCCCUCAAAACUCUUUGAGACAAAUAGAUGGCAAUAAUGCCCCUCGGAAAGCAAUUUAAUUUCAUUGGGACGAAUCACAUGUAGACUAUUAAGCUUGA